Molecule: microRNA, 23 nt
Filed under: Echinococcus granulosus
Lineage: Eukaryota; Metazoa; Platyhelminthes; Cestoda; Cyclophyllidea; Taeniidae
Description: egr-miR-10227b-3p
Source: miRBase by way of RNAcentral
AGUGUUGCUAUCAAUGCUCCGCA